CCCUUAGAUGUUCUGGGCUGCACGCGUGCUACACUGAUGCAUUCAGCAAGUAUACUUCCUUUGCCGAGAGGCCUGGGCAAUCUUGUAAACAUGCAUUGUGAUAGGGAUAGAUUUUUGCAAUUAUUAAUCUUUAACGAGGAAUUCCUAGUAAACGCAGAUCAUCAAUCUGCAUUGAUUACGUCCCUGCCCUUUGUACACACCGCCCGUCGCACCUACCGAUUGAAUGGUCCGGUGAAGCCUCGGGAUUAUGAACAAUGCCUUUGUUGGCAUUGUUUGUGAGAACUUGUCUAAACCUUAUCAUUUAGAGGAAGGUGAANUCGUAACA
Molecule: ribosomal RNA, 325 nt
Filed under: uncultured eukaryote
Lineage: Eukaryota
Description: partial 18S ribosomal RNA
Rfam family: Eukaryotic small subunit ribosomal RNA
Source: RNAcentral